GGCCACAUCGUAGAGCUCUGUGGUCCUCAGUGGCUGCAGUUUUUAGUCCCCUCAUUUCAAAACUAGAAUUAAAUUUCCUCCUCAUCCCCCAAGUCCAUUGUCCCCUCAUCCCAUUUCUGCCCAUAGGAAAAGAUCAGAGGUGCUUAUGAGUGGAAGAAGUGUGAGCAAGUGAGCGUGGCCUGGGCCUGCUGCUGUCACCUGUGCAGUUAUGAAUUUUUAUUUAUUAUCCAUGUGUGCUGUAUUUUAAUCAGAUGCCGUCUCCGCUUCCAGCUCAAGCCUCUGUGUGUGUGUGUGUGUGUGUGUGAGAGAGAGAGAGAGAGAGAGAGAGAAUCCAGCCCAGGUAUAUUAUUUAUUUACUUUUGUCUGAGGAUGGCUGUAUGUCUGUGUGUCACAUGGUCACCUGCCCCAGACAUCGGUGGAAGGAUAGCAUCCUGUGUACAAGAAAUUGUCACAUGAACAACUCCCCCACCCUCAGCAAAAGAUGUGUCCUUGAAUGGAGGCGGGUCACCUUAUGCCCACCAAGGAUGCUUUGAGAAGGUCCCCAAGCAGCCAGCGUCAGUCCCACGAUUUCAAACUAUUUAUUCUCCAAACAGAGUGCUGGUUCAUCACGUUCUCUGCUCUCCUGGCUGCUGCAAAUACGUGCAGUCACUUACACUUUAUUUGAAUGUAUUUUAAAGCGGUAGGUAGAAGAGGAAAGGAGGGUGACAACUUUGGCUUGGAUGGACCACGUCACGUGUUCAGAGGGGCCUCCCUCCCGUCCACACUGGAAGCGCCAGUGUUAAGAACCGGCACUUUAGAGGUGGUGAUAGGAUUGUUAGCAAACCGGUGAUCAACAUUAAGCAACACUACCAAAAAAAUCGUGUUGUGAUGCGUCAGGAUCAGCCACAAGAUUUCAUUCACUAACGAAUAUCAAUAAAACAAGCUCAAAGAUG
RNAcentral lists this long non-coding RNA (932 nucleotides) under Mus musculus (house mouse). RNAcentral's name for it is "long non-coding RNA chr9:121473983-121474915". The record is from RNAcentral. Lineage: Eukaryota; Metazoa; Chordata; Mammalia; Rodentia; Muridae.